RNAcentral lists this long non-coding RNA (731 nucleotides) under Calidris pygmaea (Spoon-billed sandpiper). Its description in RNAcentral is "lncRNA (ENSCPGG00000015460.1)". Lineage: Eukaryota; Metazoa; Chordata; Aves; Charadriiformes; Scolopacidae. The record is from RNAcentral.
AUGAGAUCCCCCCUCAGCCUUCUUCUCUCCAGGCAGAACAGCCCCAGGUCCCUCAGCCUUUCCUCCUCAGAGAGAUGCUCCAGUCCCCUGAGCAUCUUCGUAGCCCUUCGCUGGACUCUCUCCAGCAGUUCCUUCUCUGAGGAGCCAGUCACGUCGUGUUCCUGUUGCUCCUCGUCUUUCUUGAAGCGGGGAGCCGGCGUGUCACGUUCCUGUUUCAAUUCUGCCUUUCAGCUGAGCGGAUGGAGCUUGGUGGGAAGUCAACCCUCGACAGCUUCCAGCUCCCUGGAGAAGGCGGCCGUGCCCUGCUCCCCCCUGUACACGGACCCCUACACUCCCAGCUCCUCGGGCGCCCGCAGCCUGGCAGGCUCCGGCUUCCUGCAAGAGUGUCACGGACAGAUGGGUUCAGCACACGCGGAUGGAUUCCCAGCCCUCCCGGUACCCCAGCAUCUCUCUCUGCAGAAGAGGAACUGCCACCCCCUGCGCGGUGGUCACUGCAGAGAGGUUCCUGCUGCCCCCAGUUACAGCACGACCUCGUGCCAUCUCCAGCUGCGGCCUCCUGCUGACGCUUAUCUUGAAGAGGUCUCUUCUCUGCCAGAGGAACAUCUGGGCCAUUCAUUGCAUCCACCAGGUGAGACCCUUGGGAUGCUGCCUCCCACCCUGCCUUGUCAGUGCCUGUCUCCAUAAGCAUCAUUCAAAGCAGGGCUGAGGGAGUGUGGGGACUCCUGCGUGCC